UGUCCAUGGUCUUCCUUCCCCGUCUCUCCCCUACGAAGGGCGCCUCGGCGCCCUGGAACACAGCUCUGCCGGGUGCGGCGCUGACUACUGACUGUUGGUCGCGUUUAUGGUCUUAAC
This is an unclassified non-coding RNA of Neogale vison (American mink), 117 nucleotides long. Lineage: Eukaryota; Metazoa; Chordata; Mammalia; Carnivora; Mustelidae. The record is from Ensembl.